RNAcentral lists this ribosomal RNA (412 nucleotides) under uncultured eukaryote. RNAcentral's name for it is "eukaryotic LSU rRNA". It matches the Rfam family "Eukaryotic large subunit ribosomal RNA", at positions 1595 to 1993 of the family's 3401-position model. The record is from RNAcentral.
UGAAAGGGAAACAGGUUAAUAUUCCUGUACUAUAUCAAGGAGGUAAAGUGGUAACACAACUGAACUCAAAUACAUCAGUAGAAUAACCAGGAAGAGUUCUCUUUUCUUUUUAACGACUUCUCCGCAAGGGGUGUAUAAUGACCAUGGAAUCAAUUUAGUUGGAGAAAUGGUUAAAGAGUCGGUAGAGUAAAUCAAUUUCUGAUUUAUCUGGUUAGGUUCUAAUGGUACAUAAAAAUUUGAGGGAAUGAUCUUGCUUGAAUAGUCGUACUCAUAACCGCAGCAGGUCUCCAAGGUUAGAAGCCUCUAGUUGGCAGAAUAAUGUAGUAAGGGAAGUCGGCAAAAUAGAUCUGUAACUUCGGGAAAAAGAUGGCUCUAAAGGCUGAGUAUAUGGGCUAUAUCAGUAAGUUGUUGG